AUGCCCAGUGAUUAUAAAAAAGACGCGUUAUUCUGAGGAAUCCAACCUGCUGUCAGUCUGUCCUCUGCUCUCUGUUCCGUCUCCAUCUCCUCUCAUCUGCCUCUACCUCCUCAUCCUCUCCUCCUCCACCUCUUCCUCGCUUUGGCAGCAGGUCCGCUGACUGCGAUUAUGAGAUAUGAGGGCAU
Xiphophorus couchianus (Monterrey platyfish) is the source of this 185-nucleotide small nucleolar RNA. Ensembl annotates it as small nucleolar RNA, C/D box 97. Its record names the gene SNORD97. Lineage: Eukaryota; Metazoa; Chordata; Actinopteri; Cyprinodontiformes; Poeciliidae. The record is from Ensembl.